RNAcentral lists this ribosomal RNA (512 nucleotides) under uncultured Glomus. Its description in RNAcentral is "SSU rRNA". It matches the Rfam family "Eukaryotic small subunit ribosomal RNA", at positions 569 to 1083 of the family's 1831-position model. The record is from RNAcentral. Lineage: Eukaryota; Fungi; Glomeromycota; Glomeromycetes; Glomerales; Glomeraceae.
AGCGGCCGCGGUAAUUCCAGCUCCAAUAGCGUAUAUUAAAGUUGUUGCAGUUAAAAAGCUCGUAGUUGAAUUUCGGGAUCAAAGGAUCGGUCAUGCCUUGGUAUGUACUGGUUUUAUUGGUUCUCACCUUCUAAAGAACCAUAAUGUCAUUCAUUUGAUGUUAUGGGGAAUUAGGACUGUUACCUUGAAAAAAUUAGAGUGUUUAAAGCAGGCUUACGCUUGAAUACAUUAGCAUGGAAUAAUGAAAUAGGACAUCAGAUUCUAUUUUGUUGGUUUCUAGGAUCGAUGUAAUGAUUAAUAGGGAUAGUUGGGGGCAUUAGUAUUCAAUUGUCAGAGGUGAAAUUCUUGGAUUUAUUGAAGACUAACUACUGCGAAAGCAUUUGCCAAGGAUGUUUUCAUUAAUCAAGAACGAAAGUUAGGGGAUCGAAGACGAUCAGAUACCGUCGUAGUCUUAACCAUAAACUAUGCCGACUAGGGAUCGGAUGAUGUUAAUUUUAUAAUGACUCAUUCGG